UGCCCGGUCGUCUAAUGGCAGGACGCCUGAUUUUGAGUCAGGAAAUCUUGGUUCGAUCCCAAGGCGGGCAUCCA
This 74-nucleotide transfer RNA is filed under the name Antarctobacter albus. RNAcentral describes it as "Mameliella alba tRNA-Gln". It matches the Rfam family "tRNA". Rfam says of the family: Transfer RNA (tRNA) molecules are approximately 80 nucleotides in length. The record is from RNAcentral. Lineage: Bacteria; Pseudomonadati; Pseudomonadota; Alphaproteobacteria; Rhodobacterales; Roseobacteraceae.